This 229-nucleotide long non-coding RNA is filed under the name Canis lupus familiaris (dog). RNAcentral's name for it is "lncRNA (ENSCAFG00030001574.1, ENSCAFG00040002194.1)". Lineage: Eukaryota; Metazoa; Chordata; Mammalia; Carnivora; Canidae. The record is from RNAcentral.
UUCCUCUCUCUUCUUUAAACAGAAUCUCGGAGGAGAAAGUCUGUAUGUAGCAUGGAUUUAAGAAGAAACGAAAAAUCAAAAGCUUUCCUAAAACCUCACUGGGGCUCGGUCAAGGUCACUCCAGCAAAGUCUGCAAGUUUCUUAUAGCUGGGGCCACUUGUCUCCCUGAGAUGUAUAAGACUCUCUGCUCAGGCUUCAGGGAACACAACCUCUGACCAGAAGAUAGCCC